GUGCCAGCCGCCGCGGUAACACGGGGGGAGCAAGCGUUGUUCGGAAUCACUGGGCGUAAAGGGCGUGUAGGCGGUCAGGUUAGUGAGAUGUGAAACGCCCCGGCUCACCCGGGGACCUGCAUCUCAAACUGCCUGGCUUGAGUAUGGGAGAGGAUGAGGGAAUUCCUGGUGUAGCGGUGAAAUGCGUAGAUAUCAGGAGGAACACCGGUGGCGAAAGCGCUCAUCUGGCCCAAUACUGACGCUGAGGCGCGAAAGCUAGGGGAGCAAACGGGAUUAGAUACCCCUGUAGUCC
Molecule: ribosomal RNA, 292 nt
Filed under: uncultured bacterium
Lineage: Bacteria
Description: partial 16S ribosomal RNA
Rfam family: Bacterial small subunit ribosomal RNA
Source: RNAcentral